GAGUGGCCAGUUGCCCGCCGCUGAGAAUGAAGCUCAGAGCAUCUGGGCUUAAGCCGGUUCAGCUCAGAGGUGGGUUUUGGAAGUCUGUGGCGGACCACCGCAGCAAGUCAUCACUCAGCGUACAAGCCUUUCCAUUUCAGAAAAUAUAAAGAACUUAAGCAUGCGGCGUUCGGAGUAUAGAUUGCUUUGAGGUAUUUCAAAGCAGCGCUGAUCAUGGGCAGAGGAGCCGAUAUGUGCAACAGAAACUACUCACUGGAACUCUUCUGGUAAAGAAGCCAGAAUUAUAAAAUGAAAAAAAGCAUCUUCAACAGAUGGUGCUGGCCUAACUGGAUGUCUGCAUGUACAAGAAUGCAAAUAGAGCCAUACCCAUCACCCUGCAUAAAACUGGGAGUCCAAGUGGAUUAAAGACCUCAACAUAAAACCAGAUAC
Molecule: long non-coding RNA, 429 nt
Filed under: Mus caroli (Ryukyu mouse)
Lineage: Eukaryota; Metazoa; Chordata; Mammalia; Rodentia; Muridae
Description: predicted gene, 38353 (MGP_CAROLIEiJ_G0005646.1)
Source: RNAcentral